This 253-nucleotide ribosomal RNA is filed under the name uncultured bacterium. RNAcentral's name for it is "partial 16S ribosomal RNA". It matches the Rfam family "Bacterial small subunit ribosomal RNA", at positions 524 to 776 of the family's 1533-position model. The record is from RNAcentral.
UACGAAGGGGGCGAGCGUUGUUCGGAAUUACUGGGCGUAGAGGGCGCGUAGGCGGCCGAUCAAGUCAGAUGUGAAAGUCCUGGGCUUAACCUGGGGACUGCAUUUGAUACUGAUUGGCUUGAAUGCAGGAGAGGAUAGCGGAAUUCCCAGUGUAGAGGUGAAAUUCGUAGAUAUUGGGAAGAACACCGGUGGCGAAGGCGGCUAUCUGGACUGUGAUUGACGCUGAGGCGCGAAAGCGUGGGGAGCAAACAGG